This 377-nucleotide ribosomal RNA is filed under the name uncultured Deferribacteraceae bacterium. RNAcentral describes it as "bacterial SSU rRNA". It matches the Rfam family "Bacterial small subunit ribosomal RNA", at positions 521 to 896 of the family's 1533-position model. The record is from RNAcentral. Lineage: Bacteria; Pseudomonadati; Deferribacterota; Deferribacteres; Deferribacterales; Deferribacteraceae.
UAAUACGAGGGGUGCUAGCGUUGUCCGGAAUCACUGGGCGUAAAGGGUACGUAGGCGUCCUGAUAAGCAUUGAUUGAAAUCCUUCGGCUUAACCGGAGAACUGGUCAGUGAACUGUCAGGAUAGAGUUUGGUAGAGGAAAGUGGAAUUCCCGGUGUAGCGGUGAAAUGCGUAGAUAUCGGGAGGAACAUCGACGGCGAAGGCAGCUUUCUGGGCCAAUACUGACGCUGAGGUACGAAAGCGUGGGUAGCGAACAGGAUUAGAUACCCUGGUAGUCCACGCUGUAAACGAUGAGCACUUGGUGGUGGGAGAUUCGACCCUUUCACUGUCGUAGCUAACGCGUUAAGUGCUCCGCCUGGGGACUACGGUCGCAAGGCUG